ACAUGCAAGUCGAAGGGGUAACAGGGAAGAGCUUGCUCUUUCGCUGACGACCGGCGCACGGGUGCGUAACGCGUAUACAACCUACCUUUUGGAGGGGAAUAGCCCAGGGAAACUUGGAUUAAUGCCCCAUAGUAUGGGAAUAUCUCCUGAUAUUUUCAUUAAACAUUUAUGGCCAUUAGAUGGGUAUGCGUCCUAUUAGUUAGUUGGUAAGGUAACGGCUUACCAAGGCAGCGAUAGGUAGGGGUCCUGAGAGGGAGAUCCCCCACACUGGUACUGAGACACGGACCAGACUCCUACGGGAGGCAGCAGUGAGGAAUAUUGGACAAUGGGCGAGAGCCUGAUCCAGCCAUGCCGCGUGCAGGAAGACUGCCCUAUGGGUUGUAAACUGCUUUUACAGAGGAAGAACCACUCCCACGUGUGGGAGUUUGACGGUACUCUGCGAAUAAGGAUCGGCUAACUCCGUGCCAGCAGCCGCGGUAAUACGGAGGAUCCAAGCGUUAUCCGGAAUCAUUGGGUUUAAAGGGUCCGUAGGCGGGCAGUUAAGUCAGUGGUGAAAGUCUUCCGCUCAACGGGAGAACUGCCAUUGAUACUGAUUGUCUUGAGUUAUUAUGAAGUGGUAGAAUGAGUAGUGUAGCGGUGAAAUGCAUAGAUAUUACUCAGAAUACCGAUUGCGAAGGCAGAUCACUAAUAAUAUACUGACGCUGAUGGACCAAAGCGUAGGUAGCGAACAGGAUUAGAUACCCUGGUAGUCUACGCCGUAAACAAUGGUUACUAGCUGUUCGGCCCGAUUAAGGGCUGAGUGGUUAAGCGAAAGUGAUAAGUAACCCACCUGGGGAGUACGUUCGCAAGAAUGAAACUCAAAGGAAUUGACGGGGGCCCGCACAACCGGUGGAGCAUGUGGUUUAAUUCGAUGAUACGCGAGGAACCUUACCAGGGCUUAAAUGUAGUCUGACAGGAGUGGAAACACUUUUUUCUUCGGACAGAUUACAAGGUGCUGCAUGGUUGUCGUCAGCUCGUGCCGUGAGGUGUCAGGUUAAGUCCUAUAACGAGCGCAACCCCUGUGGUUAGUUGCCAGCGAGUAAUGUCGGGAACUCUAGCCAGACUGCCGGUGCAAACCGUGAGGAAGGUGGGGAUGACGUCAAAUCAUCACGGCCCUUACGUCCUGGGCCACACACGUGCUACAAUGGUAGGGACAGAGAGCAGCCACUUCGCGAGAAGGAGCGAAUCUACAAACCCUAUCACAGUUCGGAUCGCAGUCUGCAACUCGACUGCGUGAAGCUGGAAUCGCUAGUAAUCGCAUAUCAGCCAUGAUGCGGUGAAUACGUUCCCGGGCCUUGUACACACCGCCCGUCAAGCCAUGGAAGCCGGGGGUACCUGAAGUCGGUCACCGCAAGGAGCCGCCUAGGGUAAAACUUGGUAACUGGGGCUAAGUCGUA
This 1436-nucleotide ribosomal RNA is filed under the name Arctic sea ice bacterium ARK10137. Its description in RNAcentral is "16S ribosomal RNA". It matches the Rfam family "Bacterial small subunit ribosomal RNA". The record is from RNAcentral. Lineage: Bacteria; Pseudomonadati; Bacteroidota; Flavobacteriia; Flavobacteriales; Flavobacteriaceae.